UAUUUUCCUUUUUUUCCCUCAGCCGCGGUAAUACGUAUGUCGCAAGCGUUAUCCGGAUUUAUUGGGCGUAAAGCGCGUCUAGGCGGUUUGGUAAGUCUGAUGUGAAAAUGCGGGGCUCAACUCCGUAUUGCGUUGGAAACUGCCAAACUAGAGUACUGGAGAGGUGGGCGGAACUACAAGUGUAGAGGUGAAAUUCGUAGAUAUUUGUAGGAAUGCCGAUGGGGAAGCCAGCCCACUGGACAGAUACUGACGCUAAAGCGCGAAAGCGUGGGUAGCAAACAGG
This 283-nucleotide ribosomal RNA is filed under the name Fusobacterium mortiferum. RNAcentral describes it as "partial 16S ribosomal RNA". It matches the Rfam family "Bacterial small subunit ribosomal RNA", at positions 498 to 776 of the family's 1533-position model. Lineage: Bacteria; Fusobacteriati; Fusobacteriota; Fusobacteriia; Fusobacteriales; Fusobacteriaceae. The record is from RNAcentral.